AUUGAACGCUGGCGGAAUGCUUUACACAUGCAAGUCGAACGGCAGCACGGACUUCGGUCUGGUGGCGAGUGGCGAACGGGUGAGUAAUGUAUCGGAACGUGCCCAGUCGUGGGGGAUAACGUAGUGAAAAUUACGCUAAUACCGCAUACGAUCUAUGGAUGAAAGCGGGGGAUCGCAAGACCUCGCGCGAUUGGGGCGGCCGAUAUCAGAUUAGGAAGUUGGUGGGGUAAAGGCCCACCAAGCCAACGAUCUGUAGCUGGUCUGAGAGGACGACCAGCCACACUGGAACUGAGACACGGUCCAGACUCCUACGGGAGGCAGCAGUGGGGAAUUUUGGACAAUGGGCGAAAGCCUGAUCCAGCCAUCCCGCGUGCAGGAUGAAGGCCCUCGGGUUGUAAACUGCUUUUGUACAGAACGAAAAGGUUUCUACUAAUACUAGGAGCUCAUGACGGUACUGUAAGAAUAAGCACCGGCUAACUACGUGCCAGCCGCCGCCGUAA
Molecule: ribosomal RNA, 500 nt
Filed under: uncultured bacterium
Lineage: Bacteria
Description: partial 16S ribosomal RNA
Rfam family: Bacterial small subunit ribosomal RNA
Source: RNAcentral